CUGGCUGUGGCCUAAUGGUAAGGCACUUGACUACGGUUGAAAACAAAUUCGGCUUGCCAUCAAGGGAUUGCAGGUUCGAGUCCUGUCAGCCAGG
Transfer RNA from Candida albicans SC5314, 94 nucleotides. It matches the Rfam family "tRNA". From Rfam's summary of the family: Transfer RNA (tRNA) molecules are approximately 80 nucleotides in length. Their secondary structure includes four short double-helical elements and three loops (D, anti-codon, and T loops). Further hydrogen bonds mediate the characteristic L-shaped molecular structure. tRNAs have two regions of fundamental functional importance: the anti-codon, which is responsible for specific mRNA codon recognition, and the 3' end, to which the tRNAs corresponding amino acid is attached (by aminoacyl-tRNA synthetases). tRNAs cope with the degeneracy of the genetic code in two manners: having more than one tRNA (with a specific anti-codon) for a particular amino acid; and 'wobble' base-pairing, i.e. permitting non-standard base-pairing at the 3rd anti-codon position. Lineage: Eukaryota; Fungi; Ascomycota; Pichiomycetes; Serinales; Debaryomycetaceae. The record is from Rfam.